RNAcentral lists this ribosomal RNA (385 nucleotides) under uncultured bacterium. RNAcentral's name for it is "bacterial SSU rRNA". It matches the Rfam family "Bacterial small subunit ribosomal RNA", at positions 370 to 772 of the family's 1533-position model. The record is from RNAcentral.
AAUGGGCGAAAGCCUGAUGCAGCAACGCCGCGUGAGUGAUGACGGUCUUCGGAUUGUAAAGCUCUGUCUUUUGGGACGAUAAUGACGGUACCAAAGGAGGAAGCCACGGCUAACUACGUGCCAGCAGCCGCGGUAAUACGUAGGUGGCAAGCGUUGUCCGGAUUUACUGGGCGUAAAGGAUGUGUAGGCGGAUACUUAAGUGAGAUGUGAAAGCCCCGGGCUCAACCUGGGGACUGCAUUUCAAACUGGGUAUCUAGAGUGCAGGAGAGGAAAGCGGAAUUCCUAGUGUAGCGGUGAAAUGCGUAGAGAUUAGGAAGAACAUCAGUGGCGAAGGCGGCUUUCUGGACUGUAACUGACGCUGAGGCAUGAAAGCGUGGGGAGCAAA